Molecule: long non-coding RNA, 4947 nt
Organism: Meleagris gallopavo (turkey)
Lineage: Eukaryota; Metazoa; Chordata; Aves; Galliformes; Phasianidae
Source: Ensembl
GGGGGGAGUUGGAAGCGGGUGGGGAGAGGAGUAGAGGGAGAAAUAACUCCGGCUAAAGUUUAUACAAUUAGAACCUAUCUGCUAAAAGUAGACUUUGUGCUUUUGGCUUCUCCUUUCCCUUCGCUGCGAGGAUGUGUGUUGUAAGAGGUAAGCGUUGCCGGCUCAGAAGUGCGGAGCGGGGUCAGGAGAAAAGAGUGAGGAGGAGAGGGGAGGGAGGAAAGAGAAGCGAAAGGACAGCGAGGAUGGUUUGAGGAGCAGGACUGCACAGUGGGAAGGAUGGAGUCAUCCAGUGGCUCAGCGUUGCUUCAGCGAGGGUUUGAUGAGGUCGUCACGGGGAAGUGACUAAGAAGUGUAUGAAAUGUUGAUGUCGAAGGUAAGCUGAUCAAAUCCACGUUGAUGCAGCAGAGUAGUAAGUAUACAUGUGUGACACUUGCAGCACGUUUGUGACGACACAGUCCUAAAUGAAUUCUUAGAAAUCAUUGGAACUGCUGUGCUGGCAAACAGUGGCCAAACUCUCCAGAAGUAAUGCUGCUUUUUGUUUUUGUUAGUAGUGUAUCCACUGUCCAUUUGUCCUUUAGCAAAGAUUUGUACGUUUUUAGUAUGAAGCUACUAAAAUCCGUGUUCUCAAUGAAUUUUUGGGAAAAAACAAAAGCAAAUGGGAAAGAAAAAGUAUACUCUAUCUUCAAAAAGAUCAGAGGGACAGGGAUUUGCCACAGAGCUGUGAAGCACUCGCUAGAUAUUUUUUAGCAUUCAGUAAAAAAAUUCAAUAUUUUUGCAUCUCAUGACUUUGUUCUACACAAAUGAGGGUACUGUGUACAGUGCCAACUCAAGAUGUUGUAGCAAGAUCCUUGUUUUUUCUGCUUUCUGUAUGUUUGACAUAAAUCUGUUACCCAGAAGCAAUUUGCCCACUGGCCUGGUCUGUCUUUCCUCCCACUGUCCUGGAGCCAAGAAAGAGACUGGUGAAUUGUCCCCCUUUUUGCCAUCUGAAGUGCUGAAGCUGCACCUCUUAGGAUUUUUGCAAUGAGCUUUGCACUGUGACUGCCUCUCUGCUGUCAGGUGAGGCUGGAAGGUGAUCACAAGGAGGGAAGGGGCCACCUGAAACUUGCAAAGGUUUAGAGGCAUCUGAAAUUCCUGGGUGCAGUCUAUAUCAGAGAUCGGUUGCCUGCCUCUUUUGUGGGAGGAUAUAAGAGAGAACGGAGACCUUUGCGUAAAAAACUUCAGUCAGCUGAAGUCAGCGAUGGAAGUCCUGUAGAAAAGAGCCUCAGACCAAAUCAAAACCUUGAUUUCCUAAGAGUAACACUGCCUGCAAAUGGAGGCAGGCUGAGGUCCACAACUGGCCAGCACUUUGGACGCGUCCUGCUUACUUUAGUCACACAAAAUGACGUAUUGAUGUAAGCUUCCAGAAUCUAAACAGGCAGCCCUUUCAUAGGCAAAAGCCCUAAUGAAGUCACUGGCAAGCAGCCUUGCUGGCCUAGGGCCUGCAGGCUGUUUCCCCAGUCAAUACACUGGACCUAAUCUUAUAACUCUUGAGCAUCGAACUCCAUGUGUAUUUUCCGCAAGUAUUUGUUCUCUUUCUGCAAAAGUGCAAGAUUUGUGUGCUGGGGAGAGCAGUGUCAGUGAGCAGCUGCUUUUCCUUCAGUGUGAGUUGUUUGGGAUAUAGACUACAUUUACUACUGGUUGGGCAAAACCAAACCACAGAGCUGAGAUGUGGAAAGGCAAGAACCUGGACUGACAAAUAAAAAUCUCCUUUAGUAAGUGCACACUUGAACACAAAACAAAACAGAGUUAAAAACAGAAGUUACAGAGUUUCAUAUUGAGAAAAUAUACAUUUUUACCUGGUAAGUUUCAGGCUGCUUCUAAUUUAGUGGAACACAUUAAUUGAUCUUGCAAUUCUACUGCAGUCAAUGGAGUUGUCAUAGUGAAGAGUUAGUGCAAGAACAAUCCAUCCAGGUUCUCUAUAAUCAGUUGAAUUUGUUUCUCUCAUUUCUGAGAGUUUUAGAAAUAUAAAUAGGAAUGGCAGCAUCAUUUAUAUCUAUGGUGCCAAAGCUGUCAUCAAACAUGGCAUUUACAUGCAAAAAUCCAGGGGAUGCUCUAUUUUAGUUGAGGAACCUGCAGGCAUUCUUUUCCCAAAUUUCUAAAUAAAGUUUUGCCAUAUUUGUAUAUGAUGCCCGUGCAAAAAAGAAAAGAAGCUUUUAUAGUUGAAAAUUUUCUGUCUACUUCUCCACACUCCCCAGAAAAUGAUAGAAUGAAUACAAUCCUGCUGAGUUAAAAUAUCCUUUUUAUCUUUAUUUCUUUUCUCUUUCUUUCCUCUUUCUUUCUUUUCUUUUCUUUCCUUCCUUCCUUCCUUCCUUCCUUCCUUCCUUCCUUCCUUCCUUCCUUCCCUCCGUCCCUCCUUCUAAAAAAAAAAAGGCUUUUGCCUCUGACUGUCUCAACCUGUGAUUCCUUCAAAUCCAGACUAAGGUCAAAGGUGAGCUCACAGCUCAGCCUGACACAGAACUGGAAAUGCAGCACCUUGGAUGCAUAUGCACUUUGACUUUGAACGGUAACACUGUGAAAAAUGCCACAAGUAGGUCCUGAAGGUACCGUGAAACAAUGCUCUAAAAGAGGAAUGAGACAUCUUUUCACAGGCUGGAUAUCCUGUACAAAUUUCAACAGAGGCUGUGGUUUUGUGUGAGAGAAUUUUGGAGUCUCAAGUGCAGGCAGUAAAAUCGUGGCCCUUUGGGGCCAUGUGGUCUCUUUGGGAACUGACCUUCAAGACUCUGCAUUUGUGUCAUUGUCACACCUGAUAUGCUAUAAGUAAAUCACAGAAUCACAGAAUGACACAGAAUGGCCAGGGUUGGAAGGGACCUCAAGGAUCAUGAAUCUCCAACUCCCCUGCCACAUGCAGGGCCACCAACCUCUCCGCUUAAUACUAGACCAGUGUAUAAGUAAAAGUAUGCAAGUAGUAAAUGUAUGAUGUUAGAUGCCAAUCGAUUGAUUUCAGAUCCUUAUCACAGCAAACUUACAGUUCUUAUUCAAGGUGUUCAUGGAGUUAUUUUUCUGCCUCUUAUUUUAAGAUGAAACCAACUCAUUGUAACAAGAAGUCACUUAUAGAGUGAAAAUAUAAGCUCAAAAGUUAAACAUAUGAGACUCUUGCCAUUAAAGACACAAGUGUGAUAAGAUGCCCUGUUCUUAUGGAGCUCUGCUGUGGAGAUAGGGGAGGAUUUUCCUUGUGCUUACCACAGUUUUGUGUGGUUUAAUUAACAUGUAUUAUAUUAAGGAUUUUCUUUUUCAUAGUAAAGCCAAGUACUCCACUUGAAACAGGGGCACUCAUGCACUCAAAUCUGUGUCAGAGUCCUGCUGGCAGUCAGAGCUUCUGCACUAACAUCAGAUGGUGAGUCAGAAGUUCAGGAAAGCAAGACAAACAAUCUGAAGAGCUGAAAACAUCAAGCACUUACUCAGGACUCAUAUGUGCAAAUCUAUAUAUAUUCAAUCAGGGCAUGCAUGAGGUGAAAAAUGAUGACAUUUGUCAUCAAAUGUCAUCAUUUUCUUUUUCAUUUAUUUUUAUUUUUUCCCUUAUUUAUUUAUUUUUUUCCAUUUCAUCGGCACUGCUGAGAGAAGUCUUCCUUGCAGCGGGAAAAAAUGAACAAGCCAUGUAAGAUGCAAAUAGGGAAGGAGGUGGGGGCAGUGUGAUAAGAAGAACCAUUUUCUCAACCAAGCUGAGCACAGUACUGUUUGUGUUCAGUGUAGUACAUUUUGUGGAAAUAGUUGGAAAGAGUUGGUAUAGACAUGUCGUUCUCCCAUGCCUCUUUUCUAAAAGUUCUGACGAGGUCAGGAAUAUCUAUACAUGGGGGAAUUCCUGCUUGCCAUGUAACUGAGCUGGGGCAGUGAGCACAUGGUGACCAUGAUCUUCCAAGGUCCAGAAUCAGCAGAGUGGCUGCAUCAGAGGAGUAGCGUGUUUCCUGCCUCAUGGGCUGAACCAUGUAUUGAAGCUGUGUGUGUGCACAAGGCAGGUGUGCCCAUGUGAGGGUGAAGGUUGCUUGAGGGGUGUGCAGGAAAGAAGUUGUUGCAUUGCAGGGAGUUUACUUGUGUUCGGCUUGAGUUUAAAUAGACUUCAGACCAAUCUCCCCUGAAAAACAUGAAAGAAAUCUAACAUGGAAUAUAUCUGCUGAUGAAACUUACAUAGCUGGUACUUUUUGUGGCUUCUUUCAGCACAGGUGUGCUCCACCACUUCAGUAUUUAGUCAAAAUCGUAUUCUUUUUCUGAGAGUUAGCUCCCUUUAAAGAAAUGUCCCAAACAUUCUGCAGUGCGAACUGUAUUCUGGUUCUUCUCUAUCCUCUUCCUGCCGUGCAUAUGUUCCUCUGCUCUCCAGCGUUCUCUCCUUUGCAUAUGUUUCCUAGGAUCUCCUGCCCCUGUCUGAACCUGGCUGAUGUCUCUGACUCCCUAGUAGCUGAGCUGUAAUGGAAAUAACAGCUUUGCUUGGAAGAAUCCAAAACCACUGAAGCCUUGAGUCUUCCUGGAUGAGGAAGGAAGAGCAUGUAACCUCGUGUUACUUGUGAGCUAUUUGCAGCUGUAGGUCAAAGAGUUUGCAUAGCACCUGCUUAGCAUGCUCUUCACAUGCUGGGGGAAGCAGUUCUGUGGUGCAAAGUCAGAGGCUCUUAACAAUGAAGCAAGGGACAGAUGUGAUACUUCCAUGCGUCUGUAAGAAUGUCACACAUGAAACCACUGUAGUUUUUGCUAACUCAGUGGCAGAGCUGCAGAGAUUAGUUAUCAGGGUUUGACAAGGCAGCAAACAGAUUGCUACAGCUCUGAGAAACAAGGUGAUAACACAGUGCCACAAUUUCUGUUUAAAUAUGCUUCUGAAUUGCUCUUGCAUUGCAUAGAAUCAAAAAAUGGCUUGGAUUGGAAGGGGACCUUGAAGCCCAUCCAGUUCCCACCCCCUGCCAUGAGCACCCCCUAGAUCAGGCU